AGAAAAGCCUUUAAACUCAGCAUAGCUGCAGACAUUAUGGAACAUCUUGAAGAGCAGGAGGAGGAGAAGCAGGUUUGCUGGCUGGUUUCAUGUCUGGAUGUAAUGGACUUCUCUGGAGCCUUGGCUUGUAUGGACUAGUUCUACUGACUGCAAGAAAACAAGAGAUUUAACUAUAGGAAGAAAAAAAGGGAAGCAGCAUUUCAACGUGAAGAAUAGCCCAGGAUUAAAAGAAUUAAGAAAAUUAACAUGAGAAAGGAGCUGCACUUAAGCCAUUCAGACUCUCCAGCAUUAAUGGAAGU
This is a long non-coding RNA of Serinus canaria (Common canary), 299 nucleotides long. RefSeq lists it as uncharacterized. The transcript has 3 exons. NCBI's taxonomy places the organism in Eukaryota, Metazoa, Chordata, Aves, Passeriformes, Fringillidae. The record is from RefSeq and is a predicted model, not a curated record.